AAAAAAAAAAAGAAAAUGAAAAACAAGAUUUUAUUGCUCUAAUCUACGAGAAUAAGCUAUGCUGAAGUUAGUCGGAACUUACUUUACCCUCAAACAUGCAUUAGUAUUUCUUAGGAGAUUUUAUUUCCUUUUUUUGCAACUGUAAAUAGUUCUUCUUACUGAUGUCAUUGACGUCCAUCAGAGACUGCGUUUUUUUAAAAACUUUUUGUAGUGUUAUUUAACAUACUUCCUAGAUGAUUUUUAAGGUCCUUCUUAUUCUACUUUGUUAUCAUUCUGAAAUAAUGUUAGGAUUCUGCAAAAAUAAUUCAAUGAGUUAUCAAUUCUACAGAUACAGUUAUGCAGUCAAGAAAUAGUUGAGGAGAUAAAAAAAAGAAAAAUAAUUAAAAAAGAAGAAGGUUAAGGACAUAAAGAAAAAGAUAGUGGAAAUAAACUAGAGUUUAGCGUAAGAGUAGUUCUGUGGGGAAAAUUUGAGAAAUAGGUGAGACAACUCAGUAGUUAUAGAGUCAGUUUCCCGGGUGCUGAAGAUAAACAUCUAUAAAGCUCUACCUAGCUAUAAGGUGGAUAUGGAACAGGCUGAAAAGUAUUCAUUUUACUAAUUCAUGGUUUUCAUGCCCCUGCUGACUUUCUCAAGGAAAUUAAAGAGUCUGAGAACUGACAUAAAUUAUGCUUAAACCUUAGGAGUCAACAGAUCUAGACUGAAGAGAACUAGCUUUCAUCUGGGUAACAAUGGAUAUUUUCACCUUUGAUUAUCUCACUGCACCACCCUUUAUAAAAUGAUAGACUUUGCCCAGCAAUUGUGACUUCAAAUUUUGCAGUCAGACUAGGUCAGUGAAAUCUUUUAUUCUGAUAUCUCUUCCAUAUGAACAGCUCUUUUUUUUUUUUCUUUUUUUCUUUUUUUUUUUUUCUCCCAGUAAGUAUCCAGAGCUGUCUACUCUUACUUGGAUUACUUAUUCAUGGUACUGUAUUUCUUACACUCAGUAGUGGCUAAAAUAAAUAUUCUGAAGGUGACUUGUGUGUCUAAAUGAAAGCAUGCAUCAGAUCCUCAUAACGUUUAGGUAUGGAGGUUAUGCUGUGCAUACCUGUAUGGGAACUGCUGAGUCAUAGCCUGAACUUCUGAUUGAUCACCUGAGGUGGGCAGUGAGUCCGCCAGAGGAGCACAGGUGAAGGCAAUUCCUAGACCUAUUGAAGAGCUGGCAACCAGUGGGGAAGGAUCUCUUCUGGAGACCUGCUCUGCUGGUGUUUUGUGAGUGAGCCCAGGAUAGAGUUGACAGUUCAAGCUCCAAGAGCACCAGCCACUGUUGGAGUUGUUUCAGUGAGAAGUUCACACGGAAGCAGCUCUAAGGGUGUGGAAACUACAGUAGCAAAGUAACUUACUUGGAGUAAACAUAAACCUAGCAGUUACUUGCUCUGCUACAGUAAGGGAAAAAGUAGACAGAGUCUCUGGAUUGGCUUUGCUACGCUGUUACCUAUUUGCAACAUUCCAUGCUACUUUGAGGCAGAAACUUUUCAUAAGCAAGUAAAGACCAAAAGGAGGCAGGCAAGAGCUACCAUCCUCAAAAGAUGCACUGCUUGGGAGCAGUCCUUACUUCUGGUAAUGGACUGUUGGAUACAGCAUUGUAAUUUGAAGUCAGUUCAAUUUGAAGUUCAGUUCAUUGUAAAACAGAAGUCAGCACAUGUGGUAACUGAUGUUUGCUAGAGAGAUAACAAUAAAUCAUCCUUGAAUCAAUUCUAAUGUUCUGAAGACUAUAAAUGUUAUGGGUUUAUCAGUAUGUUAAGUCUAGUGCUACAGAGGCACACUGCAUUUUGGAAGUUGUAAGAUU
Long non-coding RNA from Tympanuchus pallidicinctus (lesser prairie-chicken), 1820 nucleotides. RefSeq lists it as uncharacterized. The transcript has 3 exons. Lineage: Eukaryota; Metazoa; Chordata; Aves; Galliformes; Phasianidae. The record is from RefSeq and is a predicted model, not a curated record.